CCCUUGUACACACCGCCCGUCACACCACGGGAGUUGGCUGCUCCAGAAGUAGGUAGUCUAACCGCAAGGGGGACGCUUACCACGGAGUGGUCAAUGACUGGGGUG
RNAcentral lists this ribosomal RNA (105 nucleotides) under uncultured bacterium. RNAcentral's name for it is "partial 16S ribosomal RNA". It matches the Rfam family "Bacterial small subunit ribosomal RNA", at positions 1378 to 1482 of the family's 1533-position model. The record is from RNAcentral.